AGACGUGCAGGCAAUCUGGCUGCAACAUUGAUUGUCACCCUAUUGAUUCUGCUUAUCUGGCUGGCUACAUGAGUGUUCCUUUCCUCUAUCACCACUCCAUGUGCAUCCCUCCCAAAGCUGCAUGCUUGGUUGAAGAGGAUGACCACCCCCAGUAGAGGAGGACAUUUUUCUCAGUCAAGGGUAUAUGAAACGUCGUGCUACCCUGCUAGCACUGCCAAACAAGCUCUCAAUAUACAGAAACAACAAAGGGGCAAAUUAGAAUGGGAAGGUUCUAUAUAUAGCCAUGUAAGUAUGUAUGCUUUAUUU
Molecule: small nuclear RNA, 306 nt
Filed under: Heterocephalus glaber (naked mole-rat)
Lineage: Eukaryota; Metazoa; Chordata; Mammalia; Rodentia; Bathyergidae
Description: 7SK RNA
Rfam family: 7SK RNA
About the family: 7SK was discovered as an abundant small nuclear RNA in the mid-70s but a possible function has only recently been suggested. Two independent studies have found that 7SK RNA binds the CDK9/cyclin T complex (known as elongation factor P-TEFb).
Source: Rfam by way of RNAcentral